GACGAACGCUGGCGGCGUGCUUAACACAUGCAAGUCGAGCGGUAAGGCCCUUUCGGGGGUACACGAGCGGCGAACGGGUGAGUAACACGUGGGUGACCUGCCCUUAGCUCUGGGAUAAGCCUGGGAAACUGGGUCUAAAUACCGGAUAUGACUCCAUGACGCAUGUUGUGGGGUGGAAAGCCUUGUGCGGCUAGGGAUGGGCCCGCGGCCUAUCAGCUUGUUGGUGGGGUGAUGGCCUACCAAGGCGACGACGGGUAGCCGGCCUGAGAGGGCGACCGGCCACACUGGGACUGAGACACGGCCCAGACUCCUACGGGAGGCAGCAGUGGGGAAUCUUGCGCAAUGGGCGAAAGCCUGACGCAGCGACGCCGCGUGAGGGAUGACGGCCUGG
This 391-nucleotide ribosomal RNA is filed under the name uncultured bacterium. RNAcentral describes it as "bacterial SSU rRNA". It matches the Rfam family "Bacterial small subunit ribosomal RNA", at positions 28 to 419 of the family's 1533-position model. The record is from RNAcentral.